RNAcentral lists this ribosomal RNA (252 nucleotides) under uncultured bacterium. Its description in RNAcentral is "partial 16S ribosomal RNA". It matches the Rfam family "Bacterial small subunit ribosomal RNA", at positions 338 to 604 of the family's 1533-position model. The record is from RNAcentral.
CCUACGGGGGGCAGCCGUGGGGAAUAUUGGGCAAUGGGCGCAAGCCUGACCCAGCAACGCCGCGUGAAGGAAGAAGGCCCUCGGGUUGUAAACUUCUUUUGUCAGGGACGAAGAAAGUGACGGUACCUGACGAAUAAGCCACGGCUAACUACGUGCCAGCAGCCGCGGUAAUACGUAGGUGGCAAGCGUUAUCCGGCUUUACUGGGUGUAAAGGGCGUGUAGGAGGGACUGCAAGUCAGAUGUGAAAACCAC